CCUCAGGCUUUCCUGGUGACCACUAACCAAUAGGAAGCGCUGAAACAACCCCUGUGUGGGUGAGCGUGUGGUCCCGGGCCCAAGUGCCGAGCGUAGGCCGGCUAGCGCGAGGCGUGGAGUUGAGAAGACAGUUAUUCUGCCUAGGAUGCCAAGAGGGUUCUCUGCGCCCAGGAGUGCCACGCCUGCCCGAUUUUCCGCGGUUUUUAAGGAGUAGCGCUUCGGUAGCCGGGAAACUGGAGGAUUGAACCAGCUGCCCUUUGACCCUGCCAACAACAACGAGCCCCUGCAGUUUGGUAGUGCCAGUGGCCCUCUGGUCACAGAAGGCCUCAUUGAAAAUGGAGGGGACUCAAGCAAGAAAAGAAAGAGAACAAAUGCUCCUUCAGGUAAGAUAGGUGAUAAAAUAGCGUCUUUAGACAGUGCUGUUUAGUCAACAUUUUCCCUGAGUCUAG
RNAcentral lists this long non-coding RNA (449 nucleotides) under Cavia porcellus (domestic guinea pig). RNAcentral's name for it is "lncRNA (ENSCPOG00000038536.1)". Lineage: Eukaryota; Metazoa; Chordata; Mammalia; Rodentia; Caviidae. The record is from RNAcentral.